UGGGGAAUUUUGCACAAUGGGGGAAACCCUGAUGCAGCGACGCCGCGUGAUUUAGAAGGCCUUCGGGUUGUAAAAAUCUUUUCUAUGGGAAGAAAAUGACAGUACCAUAGGAAUAAGGACCGGCUAAUUACGUGCCAGCAGCCGCGGUAAUACGUAAGGUCCGAGCGUUGUCCGGAAUCAUUGGGCGUAAAGGGUACGUAGGCGGGUAAGCAAGUUAGAAGUGAAAUCCUAUAGCUCAACUAUAGUAAGCUUUUAAAACUGCUCAUCUUGAGGUAUGGAAGGUAAAGUGGAAUUCCUAGUGUAGCGGUGAAAUGCGCAGAUAUUAGGAGGAAUACCGGUGGCGAAGGCGACUUUCUGGCCAUAACCUGACGCUGAGGUACGAAAGCGUGGGUAGCAAACAGA
RNAcentral lists this ribosomal RNA (402 nucleotides) under bacterium. Its description in RNAcentral is "partial 16S ribosomal RNA". It matches the Rfam family "Bacterial small subunit ribosomal RNA", at positions 355 to 776 of the family's 1533-position model. The record is from RNAcentral.